UGGAAACCCGUGUGGCAUCCAGCGAGCAAAGCAGGGACAACGGCUGAGCCCGCACCGCGUCUCCGUCCAGCGAGAGGCCGAGGUUGUUCCUGCUGCCCGAGGAAGGCGGCGAGCGGCCCUGCUGUCCGCUCCGAGAGCCCCCCGCCCGGCGCCCUUGGGGGCCUGCCUUCGACCGUCAGGGUGGCUCUGGCACCGCAGCUCAGCGCUCUCCAGGCCAUCAGAAACGCCCUCGGCUGAGGUCUGAGGGAUCUGGAGGCACAGAUUGUAAGGACAGAGCAAGGAGGGGGCUAACGGGACCGAGAGCUGCCAGUCAGAGAGGAGCUCUUGCCUCCCUCCAGAAGGGCUCGCGGGAGCUGCUGGAGCUCCGUCACGAGCCACCGUCGUUUGGAAAAGCAAAGCUCACUGAUGUUCAGGGCCUGACACUUCUUAGCGUGACCCAGUCCUCCCUGAAAACUAGAGGAGGCGGAGACGGGCGCCUCCUGUGUCCUUGCCCAGCUUGCCUGAUGGCGCUCUCUCUCUCUCUCUCUCUCUCUCUCUCUCUCUCUCACACACACACACACACACACACACACACAGCCACGACUAAAGCAAAGUGACAUGCAGCCUUCCUGAAGCAAAAGGCUCGCUGGCCUGGAAGGAAUCGCAGACACCGAGGCCCCAAUCUGUUAGAUUCGGUUUCAUCUCGGAUCCUUCCGGGGCCUGGUGGCGCACACCCGUGAUCCCAGCACUCUUCGAAGCUGAGGGAGGAGGAUCUCAGGUUUGAGCCACAAGCCGGGCAAUUUAGUGACUUAGCAAGAUGCUGUCUCAAAAUGAAAAAGGGCUGGAGGCGUAGCUCAGUGCGAAGGCCCUGAGUUCAAGCCACAUUACCCUCCCCCUAAAAAAAUUCUUCCAGGGUUUUAUAUUCAGCUUACAAAUCUUAUUUUUUUUCUACCUAUAAGUAGAGCAAAUUGCAGCUAUCUCUUUUUAGUCCCUUUCAAAGAAACAUUAGCCAAUACUUGGUUACAUUUGUAACCUUAGGAAAUUAAGUCUUCAAAUAGUUUAAAGUGUGUGUGUGUGUGUGUGUGUGUGUGUGUGUGUGUCUGUGGUGUGUGUGGUGCUGGGAAUCUAACCCAGGGCCUCAGGCUCACCACACAAGGAAGUGCUGUACCACUGAGCUACACCCCCAAACUUCACUUUUGUUUUAAGGGCAUCAAUUAUCUG
RNAcentral lists this long non-coding RNA (1200 nucleotides) under Heterocephalus glaber (naked mole-rat). RNAcentral's name for it is "lncRNA (ENSHGLG00000043597.1)". Lineage: Eukaryota; Metazoa; Chordata; Mammalia; Rodentia; Bathyergidae. The record is from RNAcentral.